GAGGCCCUAGUAAAUUAAUUACAUAGCCCUGUCAGAGCUAAAUUAUAGACUUAAACCCUGUGGGCCUCA
RNAcentral lists this transfer RNA (69 nucleotides) under Scincella huanrenensis. RNAcentral describes it as "tRNA-Asp". Lineage: Eukaryota; Metazoa; Chordata; Lepidosauria; Squamata; Scincidae. The record is from RNAcentral.